GACGAACGCUGGCGGCGUGCUUAACACAUGCAAGUCGAACGGAAAGGCCCUGCUUUUGUGGGGUGCUCGAGUGGCGAACGCGUGAGUAACACGUGAGUAACCUGCCCUUGACUUUGGUAUAACUUCAGGAAACUGGGGCUACUCCCGUAUAGCAGCUCCUGCUGCAUGGUGGGGGUUGGAACGUUUCGGCGGUAGGGGAUGGAUGGGCGGCUUAUCAGCUUGUUGGUGGGGUAGUUGCUUACCAAGGCUUUGACGGGUAGCCGGCAUGAGAGGGUGAACGGGCACAAGGGGACUGAGGGACGGAGCAGAGGGGUACGGGAGGCAGUAGGGGGAAGUAUGAUACAAUGGGAGGAAGUGGGAGGAAGAAGCGUCGCGGGUGGAAUGACCGUUUGUGGGGAGUGAACAGCUGUAGGCUGUGACGAAGCGGGAGUGACGGUAACGGGUAAAGAAGCACCGGCUAACUACGUG
This 468-nucleotide ribosomal RNA is filed under the name uncultured bacterium. RNAcentral's name for it is "partial 16S ribosomal RNA". It matches the Rfam family "Bacterial small subunit ribosomal RNA", at positions 28 to 507 of the family's 1533-position model. The record is from RNAcentral.